ACGUCGAGUUUGGGGAUUUUUUGGUGGUGGUGUAGUGGUGUGGCGGCAGCAGCAGCAGCAGUGACGUUGAGUUCGAGGAUUUUUCGGUGGUGGUACAGUGCUGUGAGGAGCGGUGUGCGUGGAAACUUGGUCGAAAGAUGGAGCUGGGUUGUGUAUGCUGCAAAUGGAGAAGUCCGCGAUGGACUGACGUGAGGUGGUGAAAGGACAGUUGAAGCGUGGCGAUCGGUGAUGUAGAGGUGGUGGUGGAAUUUAGAGGUGACAGUUGAGGAUACAAGUAUUGGUGGUCGGCGGGUGAGAGGCAUAUUGGUUAAGGGCUUGGAUAUGUGGCUAUUUGGUGCUUGUCACAUGUGGGAUUUUUGGUCUUGCAGUUGGGCUGGAAAGGGUGGUGGUGGUGUCGUUGGAGGCGGUGGUAAAGUGGUGGUCACAAGUGUUAGCAGUGGUCACAAAUUAUUUAGUUGAUUAUGACCAUUAAAUUGGUUAACAUGUAAUCAAUAAAAAAGAUAAAUUGUGACAAAAAAAUAAUGUGUGACAUAAAAAAUUGUUAAUCUGUGACCUAUAAUUUGAUAAGUUGUGAUUUAUAAUAUUUGUUAUCUGUGACGUAUAAAUUUUGAUUCUGUGAUCAACGAACA
RNAcentral lists this long non-coding RNA (629 nucleotides) under Olea europaea subsp. europaea. Lineage: Eukaryota; Viridiplantae; Streptophyta; Magnoliopsida; Lamiales; Oleaceae. The record is from RNAcentral.